Long non-coding RNA from Sapajus apella (tufted capuchin), 139 nucleotides. RefSeq lists it as uncharacterized. The transcript has 2 exons. Lineage: Eukaryota; Metazoa; Chordata; Mammalia; Primates; Cebidae. The record is from RefSeq and is a predicted model, not a curated record.
GCUCUAACCUGCGGGAAAGAUGGGUGCCUCCCUAACAGUGCUCAGAGCCCAGGAGGUAGCAAUGGCAGCCACAUCUGUGCCUUUGUUGGCCACCAGAGAAGUUGUUGUGAUGAUCCUGCCCCCUCAAAAGAGAGAGCUA